AGCAGCCGCGGUAAUUCCAGCUCCAAUAGCGUAUAUUAAAGUUGUUGCAGUUAAAAAGCUCGUAGUUGAAUUUCGGGAUCAAUACGUCGGUCGUGCUUUCGGGUACGUACUGGCGUCAUUGGUUUCUCCUUUCUGACGAACCAUGAUGUCAUUAAUUUGGUGUUAUGGGGAGUUAGGACUGUUACUUUGAAAAAAUUGAGUGUUUAAAGCAGGCUCGCGCUUGAAUACAUUAGCAUGGAAUAAUGAAAUAGGACGUUGACCCUAUUUUGUUGGUUUCUAGGAUUGACGUAAUGAUUAAUAGGGAUAGUUGGGGGCAUUAGUAUUCAAUUGUCAGAGGUGAAAUUCUUGGAUUUAUUGAAGACUAACUACUGCGAAAGCAUUUGCCAAGGAUGUUUUCAUUGAUCAAGAACGAAAGUUAGGGAUCGGAAGACGAUCAGAUACCGUCGUAGUCUUAACCAUAAACUAUAGCCGACUAGGGAUCGGAUGAUGUUAUUUUAUGUACUUC
RNAcentral lists this ribosomal RNA (505 nucleotides) under uncultured Glomus. Its description in RNAcentral is "SSU rRNA". It matches the Rfam family "Eukaryotic small subunit ribosomal RNA", at positions 569 to 1078 of the family's 1831-position model. Lineage: Eukaryota; Fungi; Glomeromycota; Glomeromycetes; Glomerales; Glomeraceae. The record is from RNAcentral.